This 714-nucleotide ribosomal RNA is filed under the name uncultured bacterium. Its description in RNAcentral is "bacterial SSU rRNA". It matches the Rfam family "Bacterial small subunit ribosomal RNA", at positions 8 to 715 of the family's 1533-position model. The record is from RNAcentral.
AGAGUUUGAUCAUGGCUCAGGAUGAACGCUAGCGGCACGCUUCAUACAUGCAAGUCGAGGGGCAGCAUAAAGUACUUGUACUUUGAUGGCGACCGGCGAACGGGUGCGUAACGCGUAUGCAACUUACCUUUUACUAGAGAAUGGCCAAGAGAAAUUUUGAUUAAUGCUCUAUACACUUAUUAAUUCUCAUGAAUCUAUAAGAAAAGCUCCGGUGGUAAAAGAUGGGCAUGCGUCCUAUUAGCUUGUAGGUGAGGUAACGGCUCACCUAAGCUCCGAUAGGUAGGGGUCCUGAGAGGGAGAUCCCCCACACUGGUACUGAGACACGGACCAGACUUCUACGGAAGGCAGCAGUAAGGAAUAUUGGACAAUGGAGGCAACUCUGAUCCAGCGAUGCCGCGUGAAGGAAGACGGCCCUAUGGGUUGUAAACUUCUUUUAUACAGGAAGAAACCUUUCCACGUGUGGAAAGCUGACGGUACUGUAAGAAUAAGGAUCGGCUAACUCCGUGCCAGCAGCCGCGGUAAUACGGAGGAUCCAAGCGUUAUCCGGAAUUAUUGGGUUUAAAGGGUCCGCAGGCUGUUUGUUAAGUCAGGGGUGAAAUCCUACCGCUCAACGGUAGAACUGCCUUUGAUACUGGCAAACUUGAGUUAUUGUGAAGUAGUUAGAAUGUGUAGUGUAGCGGUGAAAUGCAUAGAUAUUACACAGAAUACCGAUUG